GAUGAACGCUGGCGGCGUGCUUAACACAUGCAAGUCGAACGGAAAGGCUCCUGCUUGCAGGGGUACUCGAGUGGCGAACGGGUGAGUAACACGUGGGUGAUCUGCCCUGCACUUCGGGAUAAGCCUGGGAAACUGGGUCUAAUACCGGAUAGGACCACAUUUUGGAUGGUGUGGUGGAAAGUUUUUCGGUGUGGGAUGAGCUCGCGGCCUAUCAGCUUGUUGGUGGGGUAAUGGCCUACCAAGGCGUCGACGGGUAGCCGGCCUGAGAGGGUGUACGGCCACAUUGGGACUGAGAUCCGGCCCAGACUCCUACGGGAGGCAGCAGUGGGGAAUAUUGCACAAUGGGCGCAAGCCUGAUGCAGCGACGCCGCGUGGGGGAUGACGGCCUUCGGGUUGUAAACUCCUUUCGCUAGGGACGAAGCGCAAGUGACGGUACCUGGAGAAGAAGCACCGGCUAACUACG
Molecule: ribosomal RNA, 463 nt
Filed under: uncultured bacterium
Lineage: Bacteria
Description: partial 16S ribosomal RNA
Rfam family: Bacterial small subunit ribosomal RNA
Source: RNAcentral